UACGGAGGGUGCUAGCGUUGCUCGGAAUUACUGGGCGUAAAGCGCGUGUAGGCGGCCGAUUAAGUCUGGUGUGAAAGCCCGGGGCUCACCCCCGGAAGUGCGCUGGAAACUGGUCGGCUAGAGUAUGGGAGAGGAAAGUGGAAUUCCCGGUGUAGCGGUGAAAUGCGUAGAUAUCAGGAGGAACACCGGUGGCGAAGGCGGUUCUCUGGGCAUUACCUGACGCUGAGGAGCGAAAGUGUGGGGAGCGAACAGG
This 253-nucleotide ribosomal RNA is filed under the name uncultured bacterium. RNAcentral's name for it is "partial 16S ribosomal RNA". It matches the Rfam family "Bacterial small subunit ribosomal RNA", at positions 524 to 776 of the family's 1533-position model. The record is from RNAcentral.